CAUCUCAACCAUGAUCGAAACUCAUUGGAGGCCCCGAACAAUAGACUUGACCUUUGUCGAAACUAGUGGUUGGUCGCAUGUGGCAAGAAACGACUGAUAUCAGUGCGGUUAAAUUGUGCAAAAGUGCUGUUAAAAUACUCCGUACAUCACGAAACGUUGACAUUUGGCAGGUAAUCCGUGUACACGAUCACAUUCUCAAAGCCUCAUUAGAGUGGACAAAUCUAGAAGAAUUACAUGGGCAGUGACAAUAACAAUUGGACCAGCUCAUGGUAGAACACCCAAGAACAAGCUCAGAAAGGCCUUCAUCAGAGGGCCUUUUAUUUGUAGGCUCCGACGCUCACGGUGUUUCAAGUGACGAAGUUCUCAGGAAGUCCGGAAAGAGCUGCCACGAUCCAGUAGACUGAAGCGAAGGACGUCAUCUCACAUACCCUACACCAGAGGCCGCAGAGGUUCAACCGCAAGCUCCAGUUAAGAGAGAUCGGGGUCAAACUGCAUCGCAUAGAAUAGCCGCUAGCGACGACAAGGUGUGUGCACUCGAGCAAGCGACGCUACAUGCGGAGAGGCAAAUCGUCACGUCGCUAUUUAUGGUAUGUCACAAGCCUUCGAUCUUGCAACACAGUAGUGCAACGAUCAUGUCACAUCGCUCUUAGUUCGACGAUUACGGUGCAUCGGCGUGACAAAGUGCAACGGAGGGACAGACGACGGCCUUCUUUGUCGCGCUACAUAAAGACGUCCAUGGAUGAAGCUUGCCAAUAGAAGGAUGCAUCGUAUGCAGCGGAAUGGGCCCCAACGAUAACAUUAGUGAGUAGAGAUAAUGUUUAGCAUUAAGAAGUAGUAAUGUUCAUGGACAUGAGGCAUCAGAGUGAAUAGAAGCAAAAC
Long non-coding RNA from Aedes aegypti (yellow fever mosquito), 879 nucleotides. RefSeq lists it as uncharacterized. The record is from RefSeq and is a predicted model, not a curated record. The transcript has 3 exons. Lineage: Eukaryota; Metazoa; Arthropoda; Insecta; Diptera; Culicidae.